RNAcentral lists this unclassified non-coding RNA (253 nucleotides) under uncultured Gammaproteobacteria bacterium. RNAcentral's name for it is "contains 16S-23S intergenic spacer region". It matches the Rfam family "Bacterial small subunit ribosomal RNA", at positions 524 to 776 of the family's 1533-position model. The record is from RNAcentral. Lineage: Bacteria; Pseudomonadati; Pseudomonadota; Gammaproteobacteria.
UACGGAGGGUGCAAGCGUUAAUCGGAAUUACUGGGCGUAAAGCGCGCGUAGGCGGUUUGAUAAGUUGGGUGUGAAAUCCCUGGGCUUAACCUAGGAACUGCAUUCAAAACUAUCAAACUAGAGUGCAACAGAGGUCAAUGGAAUUUCCGGUGUAGCGGUGAAAUGCGUAGAUAUCGGAAGGAACACCAGUGGCGAAGGCGAUUGGCUGGGUUGACACUGACGCUGAGGCGCGAAGGCGUGGGUAGCAAACAGG